This 94-nucleotide non-coding RNA is filed under the name Aureimonas sp. Leaf460. RNAcentral describes it as "Glycine riboswitch aptamer". It matches the Rfam family "Glycine riboswitch aptamer", at positions 10 to 85 of the family's 94-position model. From Rfam's summary of the family: This family represents the bacterial glycine riboswitch. Glycine riboswitches usually consist of two metabolite-binding aptamers domains with similar structures in tandem. The record is from Rfam by way of RNAcentral. RNAcentral also lists the same sequence under 1 other name. Lineage: Bacteria; Pseudomonadati; Pseudomonadota; Alphaproteobacteria; Hyphomicrobiales; Aurantimonadaceae.
UCCGGAGAGUGACGGCCGAGUGGUCGUCCGCCGAAGGAGAAAGCGGGACGAGGGAAUGAUCCCUGGCCCGUGAAGCUCUCAGGCUCGUGACGGA